GUUUCUAUAGUUGAACACAGCAGUAGUUUUUCAGACUACAGGUCUAGGUUAGAAUCCUUGUAGGAACU
This 68-nucleotide transfer RNA is filed under the name Espadarana prosoblepon (emerald glass frog). RNAcentral describes it as "tRNA-Glu". It matches the Rfam family "tRNA". From Rfam's summary of the family: Transfer RNA (tRNA) molecules are approximately 80 nucleotides in length. Their secondary structure includes four short double-helical elements and three loops (D, anti-codon, and T loops). Further hydrogen bonds mediate the characteristic L-shaped molecular structure. tRNAs have two regions of fundamental functional importance: the anti-codon, which is responsible for specific mRNA codon recognition, and the 3' end, to which the tRNAs corresponding amino acid is attached (by aminoacyl-tRNA synthetases). tRNAs cope with the degeneracy of the genetic code in two manners: having more than one tRNA (with a specific anti-codon) for a particular amino acid; and 'wobble' base-pairing, i.e. permitting non-standard base-pairing at the 3rd anti-codon position. The record is from RNAcentral. Lineage: Eukaryota; Metazoa; Chordata; Amphibia; Anura; Centrolenidae.